Molecule: non-coding RNA, 26 nt
Filed under: Homo sapiens (human)
Lineage: Eukaryota; Metazoa; Chordata; Mammalia; Primates; Hominidae
Source: RNAcentral
UGGCACAUAGUAUGUUCAUUUGGUCC